This 377-nucleotide ribosomal RNA is filed under the name uncultured bacterium. Its description in RNAcentral is "bacterial SSU rRNA". It matches the Rfam family "Bacterial small subunit ribosomal RNA", at positions 523 to 898 of the family's 1533-position model. The record is from RNAcentral.
AUACGGAGGGGGCAAGCGUUGUUCGGAAUUACUGGGCGUAAAGGGCGUGUAGGCGGUUAGGUAAGUCAGUUGUGAAAGCCCCGAGCUUAACUUGGGAAUUGCAACUGAAACUGCCUAGCUAGAGUUUUGGAGAGGAAAGCGGAACUCCCAGUGUAGCGGUGAAAUGCGUAGAUAUUGGGAGGAACACCGGUGGCGAAGGCGGCUUUCUGGACAAAAACUGACGCUGAGGCGCGAAAGCUAGGGGAGCAAACGGGAUUAGAUACCCCGGUAGUCCUAGCUGUAAACGAUGGAUACUGGGUGUUGAAGGUAUUGAGUCCUUCAGUGCCGAAGCUAACGCAUUAAGUAUCCCGCCUGGGGAGUACGGUCGCAAGACUGAA